Dioscorea cayenensis subsp. rotundata (Guinea yam) is the source of this 107-nucleotide small nucleolar RNA. Lineage: Eukaryota; Viridiplantae; Streptophyta; Magnoliopsida; Dioscoreales; Dioscoreaceae. The record is from RefSeq and is a predicted model, not a curated record.
AUCCCAUGAGGUGGCCAUUUCCUCAACAUUUUCUUGUACCGCUCCCAAGCAUCAUACAAAGAUUCAUACUCUAGCUACAAAAAGGACGAGAUGUCAUUCCUCAACUU